CAACAAACUUCCAUGGGAUAAAACCAAUGAUCCUCAGCUCGCUGAGCCUGCAUCAUUUCUUCUGGUGGCCUGUAUGAGGAACUUGCUUCACUGGCUUGUCAGCUGAAGUUCUGGACCAUGGGAGCUUCUAAUUCCAUUCCUAAGGACUCACUUUGAGUUGCCUUUUAAAUAACUGGACAAACCUUGAUCUACAAGAUCUAAAGAAAAAGAGACUUACCUUUUACUGUACUACUGUUUGGCCUCAAUAUACUCUGAAUGAGGAAAAAUGGCCCAUGAAUGGCACCCUACAUUUUAAUACUAUUUUUCAACUAGACUUAUUUUGCCACCACCUGGAAAAAUGGUCUGAAAUCCCUGAUAUUCAAGCAUUCAUGGCCCCAUAUCAAGAUCCUGAACUCAGAGCAGUUUGUCGCAUGUGUCUAGUUUCCCCCACUAAAGUUGAAAAACCC
Molecule: long non-coding RNA, 446 nt
Filed under: Equus caballus (horse)
Lineage: Eukaryota; Metazoa; Chordata; Mammalia; Perissodactyla; Equidae
Description: lncRNA (ENSECAG00000047453.1)
Source: RNAcentral